CACAAGUUUCUGAAAGCAGGGAUUUGAGAACUUGUCUGUUACAAGGCAGGGUCAAGAUUAACUUGGAGGUCUCAUUGUGUUUCUUGGAAUAACACAAGAGGCUUUGAAUACAUUCAUAACUUGCCCAGACAAGGCUCUGAACAGCCUGACCAAAUCUGUCUGGUGUCAGAAGAGGGGACAGGCUGCACCAGAUGACCUCCAGAAGCGCCCUCCUGCACGCUUUGACCUGAAUUAACGAGGACGUUAAACAAAACCAGAC
This 259-nucleotide long non-coding RNA is filed under the name Gallus gallus (chicken). The record is from RNAcentral. Lineage: Eukaryota; Metazoa; Chordata; Aves; Galliformes; Phasianidae.